GGCGAGUUGGUAGAGCGGUAAUACAGUGGACUGCAACUCCAUAUAGGCCGGUUCGACUCCGGUGCUCGCCUCCA
Molecule: transfer RNA, 74 nt
Filed under: invertebrate metagenome
Description: tRNA-Cys
Rfam family: tRNA
About the family: Transfer RNA (tRNA) molecules are approximately 80 nucleotides in length. Their secondary structure includes four short double-helical elements and three loops (D, anti-codon, and T loops).
Source: RNAcentral